UACGGGGGGGGCAAGCGUUGUUCGGAAUUACUGGGCGUAAGGGCUCGUAGGUGGCCAACUAAGUCAGACGUGAAAUCCCUCGGCUUAACCGGGGAACUGCGUCUGAUACUGGAUGGCUAGAGUUUGGGAGAGGGAUGCGGAAUUCCAGGUGUAGCGGUGAAAUGCGUAGAUAUCUGGAGGAACACCGGUGGCGAAGGCGGCAUCCUGGACCAACACUGACGCUGAGGAGCGAAAGCCAGGGGAGCAAACGGG
This 252-nucleotide ribosomal RNA is filed under the name uncultured bacterium. Its description in RNAcentral is "partial 16S ribosomal RNA". It matches the Rfam family "Bacterial small subunit ribosomal RNA", at positions 524 to 776 of the family's 1533-position model. The record is from RNAcentral.